This is a non-coding RNA of Otolemur garnettii (small-eared galago), 129 nucleotides long. The record is from Rfam. Lineage: Eukaryota; Metazoa; Chordata; Mammalia; Primates; Galagidae.
AAGCACUGCCGACUGCCUUUGCUCCAAGGGAAAUUUUUUUUUUUUUUUUUUUUUUGCUCAGUCCUAGUGGUACUGUACUCUCGGACAGGUUAUCCGGUUUCUCCUGCUAGAUUGCAAAAAUCAGGCAUC